GGGGGUAUCGUACAAAGGUAGUACAGCGGUCUCCAAAACCGUUAAUAUGGGUUCGAUUCCUAUUGCCCCCGCCA
This 74-nucleotide transfer RNA is filed under the name Bacilli bacterium. RNAcentral describes it as "tRNA-Trp". It matches the Rfam family "tRNA". From Rfam's summary of the family: Transfer RNA (tRNA) molecules are approximately 80 nucleotides in length. Their secondary structure includes four short double-helical elements and three loops (D, anti-codon, and T loops). The record is from RNAcentral. Lineage: Bacteria; Bacillati; Bacillota; Bacilli.